Molecule: ribosomal RNA, 253 nt
Filed under: uncultured bacterium
Lineage: Bacteria
Description: partial 16S ribosomal RNA
Rfam family: Bacterial small subunit ribosomal RNA
Source: RNAcentral
UACAGAGGGGGCAAGCGUUGUUCGGAAUUACUGGGCGUAAAGGGCGCGUAGGCGGCCUUCUAAGUCAGACGUGAAAUCCCUCGGCUUAACCGGGGAACUGCGUCUGAUACUGGAUGGCUUGAGUUCGGGAGAGGGAUGCGGAAUUCCAGGUGUAGCGGUGAAAUGCGUAGAUAUCUGGAGGAACACCGGUGGCGAAGGCGGCAUCCUGGACCGAUACUGACGCUGAGGAGCGAAAGCCAGGGGAGCAAACGGG